RNAcentral lists this ribosomal RNA (433 nucleotides) under uncultured bacterium. RNAcentral describes it as "partial 16S ribosomal RNA". It matches the Rfam family "Bacterial small subunit ribosomal RNA", at positions 36 to 507 of the family's 1533-position model. The record is from RNAcentral.
CCCUCCCUCUGUCGGCAGGCUUAACACAUGCAAGUCGAGCGAGACCUUCGGGUCUAGCGGCGGACGGGUGAGUAACGCGUGGGAACGUGCCCUUCUCUACGGAAUAGCCCCGGGAAAAUGGGAGUAAUACCGUAUACGCCCUUUGGGGGAAAGAUUUAUCGGAGAAGGAUCGGCCCGCGUUGGAUUAGGUAGUUGGUGGGGUAAUGGCCCACCAAGCCGACGAUCCAUAGCUGGUUUGAGAGGAUGAUCAGCCACACUGGGACUGAGACACGGCCCAGACUCCUACGGGAGGCAGCAGUGGGGAAUCUUAGACAAUGGGGGCAACCCUGAUCUAGCCAUGCCGCGUGAGUGAUGAAGGCCUUAGGGUUGUACAGCUCUUUCAGAUGGCAAGAUAAUGACGGUACCAGCAGAAGAAGCACCGGCUAACUCCGUG